RNAcentral lists this ribosomal RNA (651 nucleotides) under uncultured archaeon. RNAcentral's name for it is "bacterial SSU rRNA". It matches the Rfam family "Archaeal small subunit ribosomal RNA", at positions 13 to 670 of the family's 1478-position model. The record is from RNAcentral.
CCCGCCGGACCUGACUGCUAUCGGAUUGAUACUAANCCAUGCGAGUCAUUGUAGCAAUACAAGGCAUACGGCUCAGUAACGCGUAGUCAACCUAACCUAUGGACGGGAAUAACCUCGGGAAACUGAGAAUAAUGCCCGAUAGAACAUUAUGCCUGGAAUGGUUUAUGUUCCAAAUGAUUUAUCGCCGUAGGAUGGGACUGCGGCCUAUCAGUUUGUUGGUGAGGUAAUGGCCCACCAAGACUAUUACAGGUACGGGCUCUGAGAGGAGUAGCCCGGAGAUGGGUACUGAGACACGGACCCAGGCCCUAUGGGGCGCAGCAGGCGAGAAAACUUUGCAAUGUGCGAAAGCACGACAAGGUUAAUCCGAGUGGUUUCUGCUAAAGGAACCUUUUGUCAGUCCUAGAAACACUGAUGAAUAAGGGGUGGGCAAGUUCUGGUGUCAGCCGCCGCGGUNAAACCAGCACCUCAAGUGGUCAGGAUGAUUAUUGGGCCUANAGCAUCCGUAGCCGGCUCUGUAAGUUUUCGGUUAAAUCUGUGCGCUCAACGUACAGGCUGCCGGGAAUACUGCAAAGCUAGGGAGUGGGAGAGGUAGACGGUACUCGGUAGGAAGGGGUAAAAUCCUUUGAUCUAUUGAUGACCACCUGUGGCGAA